Molecule: long non-coding RNA, 1054 nt
Filed under: Serinus canaria (Common canary)
Lineage: Eukaryota; Metazoa; Chordata; Aves; Passeriformes; Fringillidae
Description: lncRNA (ENSSCAG00000012238.1)
Source: RNAcentral
CAAGAAUUAAAAAUACACUGCAGUUUCCUAGCUGAAACUUGGUUUUUUUUCUCUACCGCAGUUUCUAUGGCUACUUGCCUGCAUAGUUGUGCAAUUUUUCGAGUUAAGAAACCAUAAACAAUUUCCAGUGUUGAAAUAUUUAAUGGUAGCUCUGUGACUUGUGGGAAUCGUGGAACCCAAGAGUUCCAUGGAAAAUGGAAAUGAAUGAAAAGUAUAAAACAAUAAGACAACUGCAAACUUAUUUCUGGUACUCACUACUUUCCAGAACUCUUGUAAUGAUAGUUUAUGUAUCCACUCUAAUUUUGGAUGGCUGAAUGUACAGGAACUUGAAACCAUGACUACUUUGUCUAACUGAAUCUUAAGAGCACAGUUUGGCUUGCCCUCAUGUUAUGAUGCCUGGAUAGGAUUGCAUGGUAGGGUGAAAAUAAACCACUUUUGGAAGGAAAAAUUGGAUGCAAGUAACAUUCCAGGUUUUAUAUGAGACUCUUGUGGCUAUUUGCCAGCCUUUUCCAGGAUUGCAGUUUCUGAGGAAGUGAGAGAGGGAAGUUCUUACAUUUCACUUGUAAAACUUACGACAAAAUGAUGGUCUGGUAAAAUUCUUGGAGAUCUGGAAAAGAAGUUUCCAUUUUGUGCCUGUCCUGGUCAUUCUGGGAUAUCUGAUCACCCUAUGUGACUUUGCCCACACAGCACAAUAGGUAUGGGAUGUUGCUCUCAUGGGAAGCUUUCUGGACCUUGCAGUAAGAAUAUGGGAAGUUCUCUGCAUGGCUACAGGAUAACACACCGGAGGAGCUGCAGUUCAGCAUGUUGCAUCCUGUGGCCUGGAUCAUUUUGAUCAGCUUUAUCAUCUGUUAUAGGUUUGUUUAAGUUUCUAAACACAUUACUAAGAAAUUGCCAAAGAAAAAUAAUACCUGAAUAUUUGAGGUCUUGUAAAUGAAAACUACAAUAGUGGUGAAAUAGUGUUCAUACCAGUUAGUGAAUUUUCAGACACAAGAGAAAAAUAUUGUAGUAAUUGGUGUGAAAUAAAGGCUGACUUCGGGAUUUUGUUCUUUUUUGU